Molecule: non-coding RNA, 122 nt
Filed under: marine actinobacterium K362
Lineage: Bacteria; Bacillati; Actinomycetota; Actinomycetes
Description: Marine actinobacterium TPP sequence
Rfam family: TPP riboswitch aptamer (THI element)
About the family: Vitamin B(1) in its active form thiamin pyrophosphate (TPP) is an essential coenzyme that is synthesised by coupling of pyrimidine and thiazole moieties in bacteria. The previously detected thiamin-regulatory element, thi box was extended, resulting in a new, highly conserved RNA secondary structure, the THI element, which is widely distributed in eubacteria and also occurs in some archaea.
Source: RNAcentral
ACUUGUCAUACGGGGAGCUCGGACCAUCCGAGUUGAGAGGACUGAAUCCAAUUUUGGAGGGCAGUUGACCCGAAUACCUGAUCUGGAUAAUGCCAGCGGAGGAAUAGUGAAAAGGUACUUAA